AUUGAACGCUGGCGGCAUGCUUUACACAUGCAAGUCGAACGGUAGAGGGGGCAACCCCUUGAGAGUGGCGAACGGGUGAGUAAUGCAUCGGAACGUGCCCAGUCGUGGGGGAUAACGCAGCGAAAGCUGUGCUAAUACCGCAUACGAUCUCUGGAUGAAAGCGGGGGACCGAAAGGCCUCGCGCGAUUGGAGCGGCCGAUGUCAGAUUAGGUAGUUGGUGGGGUAAAGGCUCACCAAGCCAACGAUCUGUAGCUGGUCUGAGAGGACGACCAGCCACAAUGGUACUGAGACACGGCCCAGACUCCUACGGGAGGCAGCAGUGGGGAAUUUUGGACAAUGGGCGCAAGCCUGAUCCAGCAAUGCCGCGUGCAGGGAGAAGGCCUUCGGGUUGUAAACUGCUUUUGUACGGAACGAAAAGGUCUGGGUUAAUGCCCUGGGCACAUGACGGUACCGUAAGAAUAAGCACCGGCUAACUACGUGCCAGCCGCCGCCGUAA
Molecule: ribosomal RNA, 496 nt
Filed under: uncultured bacterium
Lineage: Bacteria
Description: partial 16S ribosomal RNA
Rfam family: Bacterial small subunit ribosomal RNA
Source: RNAcentral